This 496-nucleotide ribosomal RNA is filed under the name uncultured bacterium. Its description in RNAcentral is "partial 16S ribosomal RNA". It matches the Rfam family "Bacterial small subunit ribosomal RNA", at positions 28 to 506 of the family's 1533-position model. The record is from RNAcentral.
GAUGAACGCUGGCGGCGUGCCUAAUACAUGCAAGUCGAGCGAACAGACGAGGAGCUUGCUCCUCUGACGUUAGCGGCGGACGGGUGAGUAACACGUGGAUAACCUACCUAUAAGACUGGGAUAACUUCGGGAAACCGGAGCUAAUACCGGAUAAUAUAUUGAACCGCAUGGUUCAAUAGUGAAAGACGGUUUUGCUGUCACUUAUAGAUGGAUCCGCGCCGCAUUAGCUAGUUGGUAAGGUAACGGCUUACCAAGGCAACGAUGCGUAGCCGACCUGAGAGGGUGAUCGGCCACACUGGAACUGAGACACGGACCAGACUCCUACGGGAGGCAGCAGUAGAGAAUCUUCCGCAAUGGGCGAAAGCCUGACGGAGCAACGCCGCGUGAGUGAUGAAGGUCUUCGGAUCGUAAAACUCUGUUAUUAGGGAAGAACAAAUGUGUAAGUAACUAUGCACGUCUUGACGGUACCUAAUCAGAAAGCCACGGCUAACUACGU